GUGGGGACUGCAUCAUGGUCUGGAUCUGGCUGACCAUCUCAGUCCGCUGAGCCUCCAGGCACCAGUACCUGGCCUUGGACUCCCGCAGGUCUUCCCUCUGCUUGGAAAGCCUACGUUCGUGGUCCUCAGUGAGGUGCUUCUGCUAAGCCUCCUUCUUGGUCAGAUCCAUUUGAACUGAGCCGGCUAUUUUGCCAACUCUUUCUCCUGGUGGCUGCUUAGCUCCAACAACUGCUUCCUGUUGAGGCCCUAAGGAGCUCGGGCAGGCAGGCGAGGAGUUGCUGGGAGGGGAGGACCGAGUAGAAGCCGGCGAGGCGCCCCAUGACAUGACUGAAAUUAAGUUGGCCACGCCCACCCAGUCAUAUGACCACCUAACCACGCCCACCCAGCCGUCAUUAGGCAGAUCAUGUUAGUGGUCCGCGGGAGUUAAAAUUAUGAUUUUAGUGACCCCUGAGGUCCGAAAGGUUAGUGACCUCUGUUCUAGAGAUAAGCAGCUUCUAAGACACAAGUGAAGUAUUACAUCAGUUCCAGAAAAGCAGGCAGAGCAACUAUGGAACAGCAUGCAAAGUGUUAAGAUUCAGACUGCAGCCUAACCAAUUCCCAUCUUGUAAACAUGGGAGCUCUUUAUUGCUGCCAUCUUCUUGAUGGCAAAGACAAAAUGAAAUGGAGAUGAAGAACAAAUGGAAAUCCAGGGGUCUGACAGUUAAGCCAGCCGUAUGGCACAAUCCUGUGAAACCAUCAACUAUCACGAAACACUUCUCAAGUGCACCUGCCAAUCUCCCAUGUUUUGCAAUUUCCAAAUCAAGUGGGGAUUUCUUUCAGAAAAUGAGCAGACUUUUGUUGCUGUUGCUCUGUUUCAGAAUGCCGGUGCUGUAAUUAUUAUAUUUUUAUUUUGCUAUACUCAAGAGUGUCACUGACAUUAUAAUAUUUUGCAUUCUGUAAGAUCACAUUCUAAAGCUUUUGAUUUCAGUAUUCUAACAUUCCAAAACCAGAAACUGCACCUAUGGUUCUCCAAGGCAUAGAAUAAAUCAAUCCAAGUUUAAAAUGA
Molecule: non-coding RNA, 1045 nt
Organism: Notechis scutatus (mainland tiger snake)
Lineage: Eukaryota; Metazoa; Chordata; Lepidosauria; Squamata; Elapidae
Source: RefSeq, a predicted model, not a curated record